CACGUAGGGCGCAAGCGUUGUCCGGAAUUAUUGGGCGUAAAGAGCUCGUAGGCGGUCUGUUGCGUCCGCUGUGAAAACUCGGGGCUUAACCCCGAGCCUGCAGUGGAUACGGGCAGACUAGAGGUAGGUAGGGGAGAAUGGAAUUCCCGGUGUAGCGGUGAAAUGCGCAGAUAUCGGGAGGAACACCGGUGGCGAAGGCGGGUCUCUGGGCCGUAACUGACGCUCAGGUGCGAAAGCUAGGGGAGCGAACAGG
This 253-nucleotide ribosomal RNA is filed under the name uncultured bacterium. RNAcentral's name for it is "partial 16S ribosomal RNA". It matches the Rfam family "Bacterial small subunit ribosomal RNA", at positions 524 to 776 of the family's 1533-position model. The record is from RNAcentral.